GAUGAACGCUGGCGGCGUGCCUAAUACAUGCAAGUCGAGCGAACGGACGAGAAGCUUGCUUCUCUGAUGUUAGCGGCGGACGGGUGAGUAACACGUGGAUAACCUACCUAUAAGACUGGGAUAACUUCGGGAAACCGGAGCUAAUACCGGAUAAUAUUUUGAACCGCAUGGUUCAAUAGUGAAAGACGGUCUUGCUGUCACUUAUAGAUGGAUCCGCGCUGCAUUAGCUAGUUGGUAAGGUAACGGCUUACCAAGGCAACGAUGCAUAGCCGACCUGAGAGGGUGAUCGGCCACACUGGAACUGAGACACGGUCCAGACUCCUACGGGAGGCAGCAGUAGGGAAUCUUCCGCAAUGGGCGAAAGCCUGACGGAGCAACGCCGCGUGAGUGAUGAAGGUCUUCGGAUCGUAAAACUCUGUUAUUAGGGAAGAACAAAUGUGUAAGUAACUAUGCACAUCUUGACGGUACCUAAUCAGAAAGCCACGGCUAACUACGUG
Molecule: ribosomal RNA, 497 nt
Filed under: uncultured bacterium
Lineage: Bacteria
Description: partial 16S ribosomal RNA
Rfam family: Bacterial small subunit ribosomal RNA
Source: RNAcentral